This 57-nucleotide transfer RNA is filed under the name Scutigera coleoptrata (house centipede). RNAcentral's name for it is "transfer RNA-Ser(AGC)". Lineage: Eukaryota; Metazoa; Arthropoda; Chilopoda; Scutigeromorpha; Scutigeridae. The record is from RNAcentral.
AGAAUAUAAAAUUUAAAGCUGCUAACUUUAAUUAUAGCGAAAUACGUUAAUGUUCUA